Molecule: long non-coding RNA, 316 nt
Filed under: Elaeis guineensis (African oil palm)
Lineage: Eukaryota; Viridiplantae; Streptophyta; Magnoliopsida; Arecales; Arecaceae
Description: long non-coding RNA (EGUI_LNC029515)
Source: RNAcentral
CUGGGUUAUCUCUUUGAUUUAUUUUUUUUCAUAAAUUAAUUUAUAUUUAUAAUUAAAUUUUUACUAUUUUAUUCUUUCUUUAAUUUUUUUACAAUCAAUUCUCUUUUAUUUCUUCUUCAAAAAAAAGAAAAACAAUCACCUUAGAUCUCUGUGGAAACGAUUCCGACUCAUCCUAUCUAAAUUAAUUUUUAUUCUUGACCACCUACGAUAGCGAUCACUAACUCCAUAUCCUUGAGAAUUUGAAGCUCCAUCUAUACGAAGGAUCCAACAUUGAGGUUUUAUUUUCUCGAAUGGUACUGAAGCCAAAUCCUCAUCC